RNAcentral lists this long non-coding RNA (919 nucleotides) under Drosophila guanche. The record is from RNAcentral. Lineage: Eukaryota; Metazoa; Arthropoda; Insecta; Diptera; Drosophilidae.
UCACUCAAAACGAAAUUUCUUCUGUCAAAUAUGCAAGUCAGUAGGCUGUAACAUUCAGUCAUCAAUUGUAAAUCCCAAUAUAUGCUCAUUCGUUUUCAGGCCCUCGUUCAGCCAACAAAAAAAUUAUAUUUUCGGAAAAAGUAUUGUGAAAGUUUGAGUUUAAAUUUGAGAUUUAAAAUUGUUUUUGUGAAAAGUUUCACAUGUGUAAAAAUUAUUUUUCUUAAAUCCUAAUUCCAAUGAUGGCCAAAAGGUGAGAAAUAAAGGAAAUUUCAUUUGGCAUUCUAAUAUAAAUCCAUUCCACAGUAUCCACCACACCACACGAAAUGUUACUAAAUUAUUGAACUGCCUAGUAUUCGUGCAUAAAGUAUGUGCAUAAAGGAGACACAAACUAUCCAUCGUUAAGCAUAUUUACAGACUUAGAUCAAACUGGACACACUGGAUUGAAAUCAAUACAUGAUUCCUAAAGGAUGUGUACACUUUUACUUUAUAUCAAACACGCAAAAUCACUGGAUUAUAACAAAUGGACGAUGAGUCAACUCCAAUUCCUAAAGGAUACGUGUUUAGCCAUAACAUUUGAAUUUAGGGUAUCAAAAUAUUGGUUGAUUGGCUAAGAGAUUUAUUCUCGAUAUUCUAAUCCCAUAUUCAUAUUGCAGACUGAAACGCAAUAAGGAUUUUUAUCGAUACAAUUGAAAGAAAGCUAAACUUCUACACAAUGGUUUUUGUAAGUGUUUCGGGUGGGAGCUUGUAUUAUUAGCUAAAAAAUAACUCCAGUUCCUUUUGCUUAGGUUAUAGUUUAUACAAAUGAAUACUACUCGCAAGGGAAUUGCUGGAAUUAAAUAAAAAUAUAAGAAAUAUAUAAAAUAUAUUCACACGCAAAUAAAAUACUGAAUAAAAUCGAUGACUGAUUGUGAUUUAGAUG